UUCAGCGAGGUACACUCCCAACCCAAUGUGACGUUACCAAACUGUUGCCUCGGCGGGAUCUCUGCCCCGGGUGCGUCGCAGCCCCGGACCAAGGCGCCCGCCGGAGGACCAACCAAAACUCUUUUUGUAUACCCCCUCGCGGGUUUUUUAUAAUCUGAGCCUUCUCGGCGCCUCUCGUAGGCGUUUCGAAAAUGAAUCAAAACUUUCAACAACGGAUCUCUUGGUUCUGGCAUCGAUGAAGAACGCAGCGAAAUGCGAUAAGUAAUGUGAAUUGCAGAAUUCAGUGAAUCAUCGAAUCUUUGAACGCACAUUGCGCCCGCCAGUAUUCUGGCGGGCAUGCCUGUCCGAGCGUCAUUUCAACCCUCGAACCCCUCCGGGGGGUCGGCGUUGGGGAUCGGCCCUGCCUCUUGGCGGUGGCCGUCUCCGAAAUACAGUGGCGGUCUCGCCGCAGCCUCUCCUGCGCAGUAGUUUGCACACUCGCAUCGGGAGCGCGGCGCGUCCACAGCCGUUAAACACCCAACUUCUGAAAUGUUGACCUCGGAUCAGGUAGGAAUACCCGCUGAACUUACCGCAGGCACUACUACGGAG
RNAcentral lists this ribosomal RNA (588 nucleotides) under Trichoderma harzianum. RNAcentral describes it as "eukaryotic LSU rRNA". The stretch from base 201 to 354 matches the Rfam family "5.8S ribosomal RNA". Lineage: Eukaryota; Fungi; Ascomycota; Sordariomycetes; Hypocreales; Hypocreaceae. The record is from RNAcentral.